UACCAUCGGUCGAAAAUGGUUAACUAAGGGAAGUCAGCUGAGGUCGUAGUAGGUAUCUCACCAAUAUCAAAGGAC
Molecule: non-coding RNA, 75 nt
Filed under: Longibaculum muris
Lineage: Bacteria; Bacillati; Bacillota; Erysipelotrichia; Erysipelotrichales; Coprobacillaceae
Source: RNAcentral